CCGUGUCAUUUUUCUCUCCCGCACGGCCGCACCUACCGCUCUCUCUCUCGUAUCCUCGGUUCCCCAAUGCGCCGCCGCCGCUCGCCGACGUCCGCCGCCGCUCGCCGACGUCCAACGCAGGCCGCAUCCGCCGCCGCCUCCACGCAGAGCUUCUUCUUGGUGCCCUCCACUGGAUCCCUACCCGCACUCCGCCUUUCCGCCCCUGAGCGCGACGCUGCGCCUAACCCUAGCCGUCGGGUUCGUCACUGUCGCCGCCACGGUACCGCGACGCCGCUCUGCCCUCGCACGACGUCCUCCUCCCCAGAAUCCGUCGUCGGCCGAUAUGUGGCGAAGCGGCAGCAGCAGACGCCGAGGCGGCGUGGCACCCGCGCUCGCCGGCGCCGCACGACCUCUCCGACGAAUCCGACUACGCCGCCGCCACCUCCGCCUCCUCCUCCAUCCACGCGGUGCAGUCUUGGCAACCUGGGGGUUCCUUGGACAGCGGACAGAAAUGGAGCCAGAUCGAGUGGUUGAGCUCCGUGUGAGGCAAUUAUAUGCUACUAAGUGGCUCAAGGAAAAUCUUGUGUAUGGUGCGGCUGACAAAAUUCAGAGACAAAUAGGCUAGUGGGACUAGCUCACCUCAGUGUAUGUGGCACCAGGGGACGAAUUGGUGGAUAUUGCAGGUGCUUCGACUGAAGUUGCCUGGAGGCACCCCCAAACUCAUCCGUGGACCUUCAGGACAAUGGUAGCAGCAAGACUGAACGAAAAAGCUCAAGAAGCCUCACAAGAAUUGCCACCCGGCUAGACGGCUGGUGUCAUCUUGGAAAUACCUUCUUUUAAGAUCAUCUGUCUGCUUGAGCGUGAUCUUCCAGUAUCAGGUACCACACCUAUUCAUUCAUGGCCUUGUUGUGCGCUUCAUAUAGCCAACCACUUGAAUUCUUCAUCAUCCUAUCUGUUCCUGGAUUUUCCUUUGUAGCUUUUGGUACCCAUGGGUUUUUUUUUUUUUGUAAGACGCCAGACUUGUUUUACCCGAACUAUGAUGAGCACUCAAAACAGUCAGAGUCAACUUUGACAGACUUAACACAAACAUCAGCUCCCAGAAACAUGGACAGAAGCACCAAGACGAACCAACCCACAAUAUGAGCACCUUAUAGCACAUAAGCAAUGAGAAUUCACCACCAGGAAAACAACAUACGAUUAUGAACUUAGAAGCUGAUAACACAAUUCAAGAAAUUCAUAUCAUCAACCAAACAGGAUAUAGAAAAAUUAUACCAAUGAAUAUGAGAUACAGUUAUUCAUGACGGAAAAAAUGCCCUUUUUAUAGCCAAAGAUGAAUCAAGUAUUGUUUAACAGGCGUUGUUCAUCAGCAGUGAAAGGCCUUCUGGAAGUUGUUUCUAGAUUAUUAGUAUAACAAUGUUUUUGCAAUAGUAUAUGAGUAAUUUAGUAAUUUCGGUUUUAUUAAUUCAUGGAUGAUAAAAGUGAAUUCAGAGUUAAUUUCGUUUCACCAGAGCUGAUGCUUUACUUAACCCAAGUCAGGCCCAAAGAAGCUCUAACUUCUACGAAUUUUUAAACUUGAUUUAGGACUGCAAUGUGCACAUUCUUCAGUGUUUCGUGGAAAUUCAGGCAUCCAACUCAGAGAAUAGGGCCAGAUGAAUGUAAAUUUUCCAAACGGGUAUUAAGUUAUGACUACUAAAAACCAUGCAAGUGCCAUGUAAAAUGAUUAUGAAUUGAAAGCACGCUAUAUGCAACAACUUUGAUGUUUUAUGUCUUCUUGAUAUAUGAUACAUACUUUGGAAACUUCCUUCAAACCCUGAACACCUGCAUUUGCCUUCCUUCUGGGUUCAGAAGCAUGAAGAGGAGGCAAUCUAUGUGCACAGUAUGUUCUUUUUCUCAUCAACUAUGUAUUCGACAUUAAUAUGAUGCUUCCUUUCAGUUUACCUUGCACGUACGACAUUAAUUAACGAAGAUGCCAACUUAUUUUAUAGUUCAUUGUAUUGCCAAUUCAGUUGUGCUAGCUUCCAUAUGAUAUCCUGUUAUUCUGCCAUGCUGCUAUGUGUUCGCAAUGUUUAGUGAAACAAAUUAGCAAUAUUCCUCUUUUGAGUGCUACAAAGUGAAUUAGCAACAAUCGUCUUCAAUGUCACAUGUUUAUCCAAGGAGAGACCUUUGAGAAUCACAAAAUUUCUUGUUAUGUUAUAUAUGCUAUUUUAUUUAGCCCAUACUCUCCUUCAGGUAUAGAAAAAAUCCUCUCAAUGCAUAGGAAUCUAUUCAAGGUAAGGCGGCCGUUGAAAACUUAUGUGGUGUAUUUCUGUGGAUUUAGAACACACGAUUUGUAGAGAUAUAGAAACAACUAACUGAACGAAGGUGUCAUAGAACUUAUAGAGAACCCCUUUCUUUUUUCUAUUUGAGUGCUUAAUUUUAUGUUUUGGCAGUCAUUCCGUCUAAGGUUUGCUGAUUAUGCAGAGCUUCAAUACUCUUAGCGCAUAGGCUGCAUUGUAUGGUUGUUUUGAUGUAUCAUGCAACUACGUUAGCAACGGCAAACGUAUGAUAAAUGUACAUAGUUACAGGAUAGACCUAGGUCUAUUUUGAAAUAGGCAUGAUUUAAGAUGAAUAUAUACUUUUACUAAUCACCUCGACACUUCUUUUGCUCAUAUCUUCGACAGACUUUUUUGUGUGGUAAUUUGACAGUUUCUUUCUAUAAAAUAUCAUGAUAGGCCCACAAGCGUAUAAGGAUAUCUUCUCUGGUAAUGGCAGUCGCGACGUGCCAGGGCCCUCCUCCAGGAGAGCACGAACCACACCAACCCCAGCCUUCCUCUCAAGAGCCAUGAAAUCAUUGUUCUAUCAUCCGACAAUAAGGAUGAUGACAACAAGCGAUGAUCAUUUAACUGUGACUCUCUGUAUGAGUCUAAAAGCUCAAGUGUCAUAAGGGGUUUACUGACUAACUGUGACUUGAUACUUCAAUUUGACCAGUUGGGCAUGCCAUAUGGGAGUACUACUCAGCCAUACUCACAGCACAGACUGAGUUGCCCCCGGCGCAUUUAGUGAUGAGAUAUGGGCACUGUUUUGAAUAUUUGCAGUAAAGUAGGAUAUGUGCAUGCUUGAUGAUUCUGAUCCUUCUCUUCUUCAGGUGGAAUGCAGUUGAGGUCGAAGAUGCCGUUGGAGAGACCAGAGGUUGCCUUGGUGGUGCUUGCCGGAGAUCACGGCGAGAUGCUCUGCUGGGAGAGGAGACCUCGCCGGCGAGGUUGGGGACGAGCUGUUGGUUAAAGAUCAUGUAAUGAUUUUGUAAUUUAGAUGCUACUUGCAAAUGUUGGUUCCAUAUCCUAUAAUUUAGAUGCCUGGCUACAAUUUUAAUGCAUGAUCAUGUUACUGUGUUUGAUUAAAAUACCAGGCAAUAUGAUAACUGCAUAUAUUUGUGCAAGUACUA
Long non-coding RNA from Lolium perenne, 3400 nucleotides. RefSeq lists it as uncharacterized. The record is from RefSeq and is a predicted model, not a curated record. Lineage: Eukaryota; Viridiplantae; Streptophyta; Magnoliopsida; Poales; Poaceae.